GUUGGCAGGCUGGUUGGUACUAGCUUGGAGGUGGUUUUCAGAUACACCUGUGAGUUUCCAGGGCUUUAGCAAAAAGCUAUAAUGGCCUCUGGCCUGGAUUUGAGUCACCUUCUUGCAUGUACUCUUCAACAUACUUGGUCAUUCCUUCUGCCUGAGGACCAAGAACUCCAGCUUCAGAGCCCUCACAGCCCAGUGUCCAGUCCUGUUUCAUGGAUCUACUGAGAUACAGAAUUUUCAAAUGAAAAGUUAUUUUCAAAGUGAUUGUCUUACUGCUGUUAAUUGAAAACUUAGCAUUCUGGGGGGAAAAGAAUCACGGCUACAAUCAGUCUACCUGAAAUCAUGGAAAGAAGAUUCCACACCAUGAAUUUCCAGUGGCUUGACAGUGGCAUUUCAUGUAGGACCUGUGAGCUAGAGUUCAUUCAGCGUUAACAGUUACAAGAUUAGCUUGUGGUACUGCUCUUGUUACUUCCUCUCUAGACCGUAUUGUGUUUCCUGUGGCAAUCUUUGUCUUCACCACAAGUGCUUUCGGAAGUACAGAGGGUAAAACUGAUUUAAAAGUGUUAUGAGUUAGCAGAUUCAGUUCUGUUGAUUAAAAGCCAGGCAGCAAGAAGUAUUCUGCCUCGUGACCUUGUGGUGAUAACCAGAGAGCAGUGUGCAGUGUACUUUCCCAGCUAAUUAAGUAACUUGGCUAAAAAACAAGGAAGCCGCCAAAGGCUGGGAUGAGUGUUAACUGAAAUUAAUGGUAGAAAGUUAAUAUUAAUGAGCUGAAAACUUGAAGCUAACUUUGAGAAAAUAGGGUGUUACAAAAUGCAAUGAAGGUUAGAUUAAGAGUACAAUGCAAAGUUUUAUUGCGUAGCUACACCUGUGCUUAAAGUCGUAUCAAAUGCUAGCAUAGUUCUACUUGCACUAAAAAGAGCCUUGUGUAACAGCACUUGAAACCAUCCAGCAAGAUCUGCAGAAAGAAAAAAAAUAAAGAAUUCUGGCAUCUCCUACACCAUUUGGGAAAGAUGGUUUAACUCCCUGUACAGAUGUUGGUUUCGUUUUUGUAGACCAGGCUUGCCUGAUACAGCUUUACUAUGUAGGUACCUCAGCAAAACCUUUGUCUUGCUAAGGAUUAAUUCAUUAGGUAAGAAGUUGAGAAGAAUUUCUCUCCUUUGUCGUUUACUUAGCCAUCAAAUUAAAAAAUAACAAAGCUAUCAUGUAACUUCUAAAUCAAAUGCAGGCUUAGGGGUGCUUGCAAUGUCAGAUGAUAGGGGUAUGAGAUUGCUUCUAUUUAAGUUGCUUCCAGAAACAGUGGCUUUAAAUCUGAAGGCAAUUCUUUGUGGGCCAGAUUUAUAGGCUGUCUAGUCAGGGAACUAAAAAGAAUGUCCAGAAUCAUGAAACUUUGCACAGCUUUUGGAUUUUUAAGAUAAGUUUGUGAUCUUGUCAGCAGCCAACAAACAAAAACCCUUAAUACUAUAAUGUCUUUUGUAUGUAAAUUCUAACUUGGGUGUGUGAAAUUUUGAAAUCUAGUCAGUUUAUAGGUAGCUUGACGCAGGUGAGGGAGAGUGGGAGCAUGUUCCACUGAAGCUAUUUUAUUUUAUUUUAUUUUAUUUUAUUUUAUUUUAUUUUAUUUUAUUUUAUUUUAUUUUAUUUUAUUUUAUUUUAUUUUAUUUUAUUUUAUUU
Long non-coding RNA from Cairina moschata (Muscovy duck), 1665 nucleotides. The record is from Ensembl. Lineage: Eukaryota; Metazoa; Chordata; Aves; Anseriformes; Anatidae.